CCUACGGGAGGCAGCAGUGAGGAAUAUUGGUCAAUGGGCGCUAGCCUGAACCAGCCAAGCAGCGUGAAGGAUGAAUGCCCUAUGGGUCGUAAACUUCUUUUAUAUGGGAAUAAAGUGCAGUAUGUAUACUGCUUUGCAUGUACCUUAUGAAUAAGGAUCGGCUAACUCCGUGCCAGCACCCGCGGUAAUACGGAGGAUCCGAGCGUUAUCCGGAUUUAUUGGGUUUAAAGGGAGCGUAGGCGGGUUGUUAAGUCAGUUGUGAAAAGUCGGGGCUCAACCGUAAAAUUGCAGUUGAUACUGGCAGCCUUGAGUACAGUAGAGGUAGGCGGAAUUCGUGGUGUAGCGGUGAAAUGCGUAGAUAUCACGAAGAACUCCGAUUGCGAAGGCAGCCUGCUGGACUGUAACUGACGCUGAGGCACGAAAGUGUGGGUAUCAAACAGGAUUAGAUACCCGUGUAGUC
This 460-nucleotide ribosomal RNA is filed under the name uncultured bacterium. RNAcentral describes it as "partial 16S ribosomal RNA". It matches the Rfam family "Bacterial small subunit ribosomal RNA", at positions 338 to 795 of the family's 1533-position model. The record is from RNAcentral.